GAUGAACGCUGGCGGCGUGCCUAAUACAUGCAAGUCGAGCGAACAGACGAGGAGCUUGCUCCUCUGACGUUAGCGGCGGACGGGUGAGUAACACGUGGAUAACCUACCUAUAAGACUGGGAUAACUUCGGGAAACCGGAGCUAAUACCGGAUAAUAUAUUGAACCGCAUGGUUCAAUAGUGAAAGACGGUUUUGCUGUCACUUAUAGAUGGAUCCGCGACGCAUUAGCUAGUUGGUAAGGUAACGGCUUACCAAGGCGACGAUGCGUAGCCGACCUGAGAGGGUGAUCGGCCACACUGGCACUGAAAAACGGUCCAGACUCCUACGGGAGGCAGCAGUAGGGAAUCUUCCGCCAUGGGCGAAAGCCUGACGGAGCAACGCCGCGUGAGUGAUGAAGGUCUUCGGAUCGUAAAACUCUGUUAUUAGGGAAGAACAAAUGUGUAAGUAACUAUGCACGUCUUGACGGUACCUAAUCAGAAAGCCACGGCUAACUACGUG
This 497-nucleotide ribosomal RNA is filed under the name uncultured bacterium. RNAcentral describes it as "partial 16S ribosomal RNA". It matches the Rfam family "Bacterial small subunit ribosomal RNA", at positions 28 to 507 of the family's 1533-position model. The record is from RNAcentral.